This 214-nucleotide ribosomal RNA is filed under the name uncultured bacterium. RNAcentral's name for it is "partial 16S ribosomal RNA". It matches the Rfam family "Bacterial small subunit ribosomal RNA", at positions 355 to 586 of the family's 1533-position model. The record is from RNAcentral.
UGGGGAAUAUUGCACAAUGGGCGAAAGCCUGAUGCAGCAACGCCGCGUGAGUGAUGAAGGUCUUCGGAUUGNAGAGCUCUGUCUUUUGGGACGAUAAUGACGGNACCAAAGGAGGAAGCCACGGCUAACUACGUGCCAGCAGCCGCGGUAAUACGUAGGUGGCGAGCGUUGUCCGGAUUUACUGGGCGUAAAGGGUGCGUAGGCGGAUGUUUAA